GAAAUGCGAUACGUACUACGAAUUGCAGCUUCCGCGAGUCAUCGAAUCUUUGAACGCAUAUUGCGCCGCGCGGUAUUCCGCGCGGCACGUCCGACCGAGCGCCGCUGCAACGCUCGCGGGCCUCCGCCCGCCGGAGGGCCCGCGGUGCUGGGGCGGCCGGGGCGACCCGGCUCCCCGAAACCCAGCGGCGGCCGAAGCGGCGAGCCCGGCGUAGUAGAACCUCGCCUGGGGGACCCGCGCCGGCCGGCCAGACCGAGUGCUCCUCGAACUUUACAAGAGUUGGCCUCGGGUCGGACGAGGUUACCCGCUGAACUUAA
This 317-nucleotide unclassified non-coding RNA is filed under the name uncultured Savoryellaceae. RNAcentral describes it as "sequence contains ITS1". The stretch from base 1 to 104 matches the Rfam family "5.8S ribosomal RNA", at positions 50 to 154 of the family's 154-position model. Lineage: Eukaryota; Fungi; Ascomycota; Sordariomycetes; Savoryellales; Savoryellaceae. The record is from RNAcentral.